AACGAACGCUGGCGGCGCGUCUUAAGCAUGCAAGUCGAACGGCAAGAGAGGAGCUUGCUUCUCUCCUAGAGUGGCGGACUGGUGAGGAACACGUGGGUAAUCUACCCUUAAGAUGGGGAUAGCUGCUAGAAAUAGCAGGUAAUACCGAAUACACUCGGCAUAUCACAAGAGGUGUUGAGGAAAGGAAGCUACGGCUUCGCUUGAGGAUGAGCUUGCGUCCCAUUAGCUAGUUGGUGAGGUAAAGGCCCACCAAGGCGACGAUGGGUAUCCGGCCUGAGAGGGUGAACGGACACAUUGGGACUGAGAUACGGCCCAAACUCCUACGGGAGGCAGCAGCUAAGAAUAUUCCGCAAUGGACGGAAGUCUGACGGAGCGACGCCGCGUGGAUGAGGAAGGCUGAAAAGUUGUAAAAUCCUUUUGUUGAUGAAGAAUAAGGGUGAGAGGGAAUGCUCAUCUGAUGACGGUAAUCGACGAAUAAGCCCCGGCUAAUUACGUG
Molecule: ribosomal RNA, 496 nt
Filed under: uncultured bacterium
Lineage: Bacteria
Description: partial 16S ribosomal RNA
Rfam family: Bacterial small subunit ribosomal RNA
Source: RNAcentral